Molecule: long non-coding RNA, 1057 nt
Organism: Talpa occidentalis (Iberian mole)
Lineage: Eukaryota; Metazoa; Chordata; Mammalia; Eulipotyphla; Talpidae
Exons: 3
Source: RefSeq, a predicted model, not a curated record
UGCAGCUCCACGCCUGACUUUGCCAUCCUGUUGCUGGGGCUCUGGAUUACUUUGUUUUGUCCUUUGCUGUUACAGCCUGUCCUGAACAUUCUUUCCAGGUCUCCUGUGUACAUGGGCAGGGUUCCUCUGCUGGAGCCUGAGGGCUGCCAUGUCCAUGCAUCUGCAGCUUGUCCUCAGCCCUGCCACACUCCUCAGCCUGAAUCGUGCUUGUUCCUGCUGCUCACAGGGAGAGAAAACUGCCCGAAGACAAAGCUGACACGUAGGAGACGAGAGCGGAGAGAAGUACAGAGAACUGGAAUCAGAGUCUGAUAAUGUGAGCUGCCAGAGAAAACUGCGCCCGAACUCGUGUCUGGACUUCAUCCUAAGUGAUAACUCACACAGGUUGCCAGAGGACUGAGAAGAGAACACCGCCGUGUCCCUGUGUGCCAGGCUGGGCGCUUAACACGCCACUAUCACCAAAUCCUUACAGCUGUGGGGUUGGACCUGGUGGAAAACAGGCCUGGAGUUAGAGUGUGUCUGAUUUCCACCUCCGCAAUAACCAGAUGACCCAGGCAAAUCACUUUACUGCCUCAAUCAUCUGCCACCUCCUGCGCACACUAGGAAAGAUGGUUACUUAACCCCAUCCAGUGGACGUGAGAACUCCAAGAAGGAAAUCUAGCAGAGAGCCUGGUACAAAUGAACUUAGCCCAGGCUCAUGAACACACUCACUAACUAUCUGAAUACACACCAUCAAGUCCUGUUAAGGACUUGCGAUCAGUGUGGUGUCUGGCUCCAGGAGCCCAUGCAAAUGUCAGUUACACAAAUGAGGGCCUCCCUGAGAUAAAGACAAACAAUGGCCAGAAAGAAAUUUCACCUGCAAGGCCUCUUACGAGGAGGCCUCUUUUCCCAACUAUCCCGAGGGUAUGAAUCUAAGCCCAUGUCACAGACAAUAUCAUAUCUGGGAACACACUGAAGUAUGUGUGCUAGUUUGGUGGUGAUGAAAGAGGGACUUAUCAGAUUGGUCUGAGGAAGAAAGAGGUGUGAAAAAAGUUUCAUAUCCUUUACACUAGUCAUUGAU